GUGUCACUAAGGGAUCCUCUGAACACUUCACUAGGAUGGUUUAUUAAUGAGGAUUUCCUACUGAAGUGUUUGGGGGAACUCCAAGUGCCAC
Helianthus annuus (common sunflower) is the source of this 91-nucleotide non-coding RNA. The record is from Rfam. Lineage: Eukaryota; Viridiplantae; Streptophyta; Magnoliopsida; Asterales; Asteraceae.